Molecule: small nuclear RNA, 162 nt
Organism: Leptonychotes weddellii (Weddell seal)
Lineage: Eukaryota; Metazoa; Chordata; Mammalia; Carnivora; Phocidae
Product: U1 spliceosomal RNA
Source: RefSeq, a predicted model, not a curated record
GAACUUACUGUCAGGGGAGAUACCAUGAUCAUGAAGGUAGUUUUCCCGGAGUGAGGCUUAUCCAUUCAUUCCAGAUGUGCUGACCCCUGAAAUUUCCCCAAAUGUGGGAAACUUGACUGUGUAAUUUGUGGUAGUGGGGGACUGCGUUUGAACUCUCACCUG